CCCUUAGAUGUUCUGGGCUGCACGCGCGCUACACUGAUGCGCUCAACGAGUUUAUGACCUUGCCCGGCAGGGUUGGGUAAUCUUCUUAAAACGCAUCGUGAUGGGGAUAGAUUAUUGCAAUUAUUAAUCUUCAACGAGGAAUUCCUAGUAAACGCAAGUCAUCAGCUUGCAUUGAUUACGUCCCUGCCCUUUGUACACACCGCCCGUCGCACCUACCGAUUGAAUGGUCCGGUGAAAUCUCGGGACGGCGGCUUGGUCGCUUGCGUCCGACUGCUGAAACUUGAUUAAACCAUAUCAUUUAGAGGAAGGUGAAGUCGUAACA
RNAcentral lists this ribosomal RNA (322 nucleotides) under uncultured eukaryote. RNAcentral's name for it is "partial 18S ribosomal RNA". It matches the Rfam family "Eukaryotic small subunit ribosomal RNA", at positions 1470 to 1796 of the family's 1831-position model. The record is from RNAcentral.